This 429-nucleotide ribosomal RNA is filed under the name Bacteroidota bacterium. Its description in RNAcentral is "Bacteroidetes bacterium partial 16S ribosomal RNA". It matches the Rfam family "Bacterial small subunit ribosomal RNA", at positions 355 to 776 of the family's 1533-position model. Lineage: Bacteria; Pseudomonadati; Bacteroidota. The record is from RNAcentral.
UAGGGAAUCUUCGGCAAUGGGGGGAACCCUGACCGAGCAACGCCGCGCGAGUGAAGAAGGUUUUCGGAUCGUAAAGCUCUGUUGUUAAGGAAGAACGAGUGUGAGAAUGGAAAGUUCAUGCUGUGACGGUACUUAACCAGAAAGGGACGGCUAACUACGUGCCAGCAGCCGCGGUAAUACGUAGGUCCCGAGCGUUGUCCGGAUUUAUUGGGCGUAAAGCGAGCGCAGGCGGUUAGAAAAGUCUGAAGUGAAAGGCAGUGGCUCAACCAUUGUAGGCUUUGGAAACUGUUUAACUUGAGUGCAGAAGGGGAGAGUGGAAUUCCAUGUGUAGCGGUGAAAUGCGUAGAUAUAUGGAGAAACACCGGUGGCGAAAGCGGCUCUCUGGUCUGUAACUGACGCUGAGGCUCGAAAGCGUGGGGAGCGAACAGG